Molecule: unclassified non-coding RNA, 340 nt
Filed under: uncultured fungus
Lineage: Eukaryota; Fungi
Description: sequence contains ITS1
Rfam family: 5.8S ribosomal RNA (bases 1-105)
Source: RNAcentral
AAAGUGCGAUAAGCAAUGCGAAUUGCAGAAUUCCGCGAAUCAUCAGAUCCUUGAACGCAACUGGCGCUAGAAGGCUCUCCUUCUAGCAUGUCUGUUUCAGUGUCUGAAAACAUCACAAAUAUCCUAAUGUGUAUGACAAAAGAGAAAGUUAUAUAACUUUCAUCUCGAGUCUUACAUGAAAGAUGUGUGUGUAGGUCUUUGGACCUCAUCCUCAUCGAAUUGGUCACUGACACUUCAGUGAUUUCGAUAGGAUACAUCCAAUUACCUGAAUACAUACAGACAACUAAUACUUUCUUCAACUAUGCAUCUGAAAUCAGGCAAGAACACCCGCUGAACUUAA